This 444-nucleotide ribosomal RNA is filed under the name uncultured bacterium. RNAcentral describes it as "bacterial SSU rRNA". It matches the Rfam family "Bacterial small subunit ribosomal RNA", at positions 331 to 792 of the family's 1533-position model. The record is from RNAcentral.
CCAGACUCCUACGGGAGGCAGCAGUGGGGAAUAUUGCACAAUGGGGGAAACCCUGAUGCAGCGACGCCGCGUGAGCGAUGAAGUAUUUCGGUAUGUAAAGCUCUAUCAGCAGGGAAGAAGAUGACGGUACCUGACUAAGAAGCCCCGGCUGACUACGUGCCAGCAGCCGCGGUAAUACGUAGGGGGCAAGCGUUAUCCGGAUUUACUGGGUGUAAAGGGAGCGUAGACGGCUGCGCAAGUCUGAAGUGAAAGCCCGGGGCUCAACCCCGGGACUGCUUUGGAAACUGUGUAGCUAGAGUGCUGGAGAGGCAAGCGGAAUUCCUAGUGUAGCGGUGAAAUGCGUAGAUAUUAGGAGGAACACCAGUGGCGAAGGCGGCCUACUGGACGGUGACUGACGCUGAGGCUCGAAAGCGUGGGGAGCAAACAGGAUUAGAUACCCGAGUA